Molecule: long non-coding RNA, 428 nt
Filed under: Anas platyrhynchos platyrhynchos (common mallard)
Lineage: Eukaryota; Metazoa; Chordata; Aves; Anseriformes; Anatidae
Description: lncRNA (ENSAPLG00000017098.1)
Source: RNAcentral
UUGUGCAGUCCUUUAGAAAGAGGUCAAUACUCUGCUAAGACUGAAUUUAAACUUCAAGAAGGUAUUUCCCUUCAUUUUUCUCUUUCAAGAGGAAACCUUGUUGGAAACAUGGGACUGAUGAUGGGCUCUUGAGAGGAAAAGAACAGUCUACGAAGGGACUGAGUCAGUGACAUCAUUGUCUUAUUAUGGACACUGAUUCUGGGCUGAAGUUCGUCAUCCUGUCAACAGCAAGUGUGACCAUUUGCAGGGCAAGGACAUGUCAGGACACCUGGGACACAUUUGUAUAUACAGCCUUUUCCUGCUGUCUGUCUGCUGGCCGCUUAAACUUAAUCCCUCCCACGUGCCACUUAAAGUCCACAGUGACUUUAAGGCAUCUGCUGUAUUCUGUCUGCUGGACACCACCAACCAUGAACCGAGGGAUCAGCUGA